This 17-nucleotide small RNA is filed under the name Arabidopsis thaliana (thale cress). RNAcentral's name for it is "ATSL255010". Lineage: Eukaryota; Viridiplantae; Streptophyta; Magnoliopsida; Brassicales; Brassicaceae. The record is from RNAcentral.
AGUUAUCAUCAUCACCA